This 224-nucleotide long non-coding RNA is filed under the name Elaeis guineensis (African oil palm). Its description in RNAcentral is "long non-coding RNA (EGUI_LNC053446)". Lineage: Eukaryota; Viridiplantae; Streptophyta; Magnoliopsida; Arecales; Arecaceae. The record is from RNAcentral.
GGAUUAGAUCUAAACUAUCAAUUAAGAAUAUAUGAUAUAAAAAAUUUAUAUAUAAAAUUUGAUAUAAAAUAAAAAAACUACAUUGAUCACUUCGAUGUCCUAGGUCUGAUAUAACCUUUAGAUCAUAUCGGUUGAGUUUAGAACACAUCAUCUUUUCAUGGAUCGAUGAUCUCUACUUCUAGUAAGUGUGGUAUGAAGCUCUUGCUAAUACCAAAUAGCCACAC